This 100-nucleotide non-coding RNA is filed under the name Fervidicella metallireducens. RNAcentral's name for it is "Guanine sequence". It matches the Rfam family "Purine riboswitch aptamer". Rfam says of the family: Riboswitches are metabolite binding domains within certain messenger RNAs that serve as precision sensors for their corresponding targets. Allosteric rearrangement of mRNA structure is mediated by ligand binding, and this results in modulation of gene expression. RNAcentral also lists the same sequence under 1 other name. The record is from RNAcentral. Lineage: Bacteria; Bacillati; Bacillota; Clostridia; Eubacteriales; Clostridiaceae.
AAAAAAAUAGUUGAUGAACUUCGUAUAACUCCAAUAAUAGGGUUUGGAGGUCUCUACCAGGAACCGAUAAUUCCUGAUUACGAAGAGAAUACAUUUUGUA